GUAUAGGAGAUGCAGAAACGGAUGACGAGAUCUGUAUUGCAAAGUCUCUACAGGAGUUUGCUGGAGUGUUGCAGAACCUGGAGGAUGAGAGGACACGGAUGAUUGAAAAUGCCAAUGAUGUGCUGAUCAUGCCGCUGGAGCGCUUCCGGAAGGAGCAGAUCAGUGCCGCCAAGG
This is a long non-coding RNA of Oncorhynchus masou masou (cherry salmon), 174 nucleotides long. RefSeq lists it as uncharacterized. The transcript has 3 exons. NCBI's taxonomy places the organism in Eukaryota, Metazoa, Chordata, Actinopteri, Salmoniformes, Salmonidae. The record is from RefSeq and is a predicted model, not a curated record.